GAUUCACUGCGGCGUUGGUGACUGCCAAUAACGUUUUAUGAUCUAUGCUGCUUCAAUAAGGGAACCAACAUAACAAUCUGACGGCAGUAGACCGGGCAUGUACCCGGAAACUUUAAGUCGGUAGGAUGGUACCCACCUGGUUUUAACCAGGUCAAAAGCUGAGGUAAGACGGCGUUGCGGUGAACCC
RNAcentral lists this non-coding RNA (187 nucleotides) under Pantanalinema rosaneae CENA516. RNAcentral describes it as "6S RNA". It matches the Rfam family "6S / SsrS RNA". Rfam says of the family: E. coli 6S RNA was the first non coding RNA to be sequenced, but its function was unknown until recently. The record is from RNAcentral. Lineage: Bacteria; Bacillati; Cyanobacteriota; Cyanophyceae; Leptolyngbyales; Leptolyngbyaceae. RNAcentral also lists the same sequence under 1 other name.